UACGGAGGGGGCAAGCGUUAUUCGGAAUUAUUGGGCGUAAAGGGCGCGUAGGCGGCUUGGCAAGUGGGAGGUGAAAUCCCUCGGCUUAACCGAGGAACUGCCCUCCAAACUGCUUUGCUUGAGGCCGGGAGAGGUAAGUGGAAUUCCCAGUGUAGCGGUGAAAUGCGUAGAUAUUGGGAGGAACACCAGUGGCGAAGGCGGCUUACUGGACCGGUUCUGACGCUGAGGCGCGAAAGCGUGGGGAGCAAACGGG
RNAcentral lists this ribosomal RNA (253 nucleotides) under uncultured bacterium. RNAcentral's name for it is "partial 16S ribosomal RNA". It matches the Rfam family "Bacterial small subunit ribosomal RNA", at positions 524 to 776 of the family's 1533-position model. The record is from RNAcentral.